UGAGAACUGUAUUCCAUAGACUGUCACAGCAGCCAAUAUCCAGUCUUUGGAUUCAGUUCCCAAA
Molecule: microRNA precursor, 64 nt
Filed under: Callorhinchus milii (elephant shark)
Lineage: Eukaryota; Metazoa; Chordata; Chondrichthyes; Chimaeriformes; Callorhinchidae
Description: Cmi-Mir-146-P1_pre stem-loop
Source: RNAcentral